This 443-nucleotide ribosomal RNA is filed under the name uncultured bacterium. RNAcentral describes it as "partial 16S ribosomal RNA". It matches the Rfam family "Bacterial small subunit ribosomal RNA", at positions 338 to 795 of the family's 1533-position model. The record is from RNAcentral.
CCUACGGGAGGCUGCAGUGGGGAAUAUUGGGCAAUGGGCGCAAGCCUGACCCAGCAAUGCCGCGUGAAGGAAGAAGGCUUUCGGGUUGUAAACUUCUUUUCUCAGGGACGAAGCAAGUGACGGUACCUGAGGAAUAAGCCACGGCUAACUACGUGCCAGCAGCCGCGGUAAUACGUAGGUGGCAAGAGUUAUCCGGAUUUACUGGGUGUAAAGGGCGUGUAGGCGGGAAAGCAAGUCAGAUGUGAAAACCAUGGGCUCAACCUGUGGCCUGCAUUUGAAACUGUUUUUCUUGAGUACUGGAGAGGCAGACGGAAUUCUUAGUGUAGCGGUGAAAUGCGUAGAGAUUAGGAGGAACACCAGUGGCGAAGGCGGUCUGCUGGACAGCAACUGACGCUGAGGCGCGAAAGCGUGGGGAGCAAACAGGAUUAGAUACCCUUGUAGUC